Molecule: ribosomal RNA, 451 nt
Filed under: uncultured bacterium
Lineage: Bacteria
Description: partial 16S ribosomal RNA
Rfam family: Bacterial small subunit ribosomal RNA
Source: RNAcentral
GUGGGGAAUAUUGGACAAUGGGCGGAAGCCUGAUCCAGCCAUGCCGCGUGUGUGAAGAAGGCCUUUUGGUUGUAAAGCACUUUAAGCGAGGAGGAGGCUCCUUUAGUUAAUACCUAAAGAGAGUGGACGUUACUCGCAGAAUAAGCACCGGCUAACUCUGUGCCAGCAGCCGCGGUAAUACAGAGGGUGCGAGCGUUAAUCGGAUUUACUGGGCGUAAAGCGUGCGUAGGCGGCUUUUUAAGUCGGAUGUGAAAUCCCUGAGCUUAACUUAGGAAUUGCAUUCGAUACUGGGAGGCUAGAGUAUGGGAGAGGAUGGUAGAAUUCCAGGUGUAGCGGUGAAAUGCGUAGAGAUCUGGAGGAAUACCGAUGGCGAAGGCAGCCAUCUGGCCUAAUACUGACGCUGAGGUACGAAAGCAUGGGGAGCAAACAGGAUUAGAAACCCGGGUAGUCC